UAUGGAAGUGUAAGCCUAUAAAAUGGUAUUCCUACUAAGUAAAAGACACCAACCUACUUAGCCACUGUGUUUCUUAUAGUCUAAAUGACGUAUAAAUUGUUGAAUUUACACAAUUUCAAGUAUGGCAUAGCCACACAGAAUUAGUAUCAUUCACAUUUACACUUCCAUUUGCAGUUCCAUUUCAAGUGAAAAAUCUGGCUAAUUUAGUUUUUGGUUGCCUAUUUGGUCGAAUCAAGUCUCGAGUAUUAAUUGUAGUCAGGGGCGAAUUCAGAAUAAUAGUUGUGAAGCAACUCGGCUACUAUUAUAUAACGAAAUCAAGUUCCCACAAAGCAUGAACCCAACAAGUUUGCUCUACUCCUAAAAACUUCCUAUUCCAGGUACCUAUUAUAGCCGGCCAAAAUGUGGCAAUGGUGCUGUCAAUAAAAAAUAUAAAAAAAUUAGAUUAUUUAGAAAUAAUCAAUAUUAGGAAUUAUUCAUAGCUGAUGGAUAAUAAAUAAAAUUAUUCUGAAUAAUUUUUUCUAAAAGUCCAAUUCAUCUUAAAUUAUAUGAAACCGUUUCAUUUAAUUAUAAGUGAAUUUAAUAAUAAGUGAAAAGAACUGAUGUCAUGUACGUAUGAUUGAGAGUGCUCGGUAAGAAUGAAUCCAAUUCCUCUUUAGAAAACAAAUACUUUUCGGCUGAAAUACAACUCAAUUUUUAAUUGUCCAUAUUAAUAGAGUUUUUUUUUUUUUUACCAAUAUGUUGUUUAUUAAUUAUAAAAUUCUCAAACUAUUGUUAUAUAAGUUUAAAUUCCAAAAUUUAAUGUCCACUUAAGAUAUAUUGUUUUUCACCAAAACAACUUAUUAUUUUCACUAGGGAUAUUCAUUAGAGAGUACCCGGUUAGUCGGGUACCUAUUUUAAAUGGCCUGUAUUCGGCCCAAUUUAUCCGUGAACCCGACUUUCGAGUAUCCGAAUAAAUCGGAUCGGCACACCGAAUACCUGAUUUUAUUUAUGAUAUUUUUGGGCAGAAUUUACUGGGCAUUUCAGGCACAAUAUAUUCCAAAAGUAAGAAACAGUAGUAGAAUGCAAGUAAAUGAUGAUUGCUAUAAUAUACGAUUACAACAUAUUUCAUAUUCCUAAAUUUAACAAGCUACCAAAGAACGAAACAUUUUUUAAAAAAUACAUAACACAAAGCAUUACUGACAGGAUUAAGCUAUUACAGUAAAAGACUUGAGGUUAAUCAAAACCCAUUAUUAAUAUAUCUUGUUGCUUACGGUUGAGUUUUAUCAAGUUACAAAUGGCAUGUUCUUACCGAAUAUGCCAGUAGGGUCCAUUUGAUACCGUAAAAUAAAAAUUUCCCCCUAAAACUGGGAACCCGGUGUCCUUACCCGAUUUAUCCGGUACCCAAACCCGGAUAAAUCGGGUCGGGGCACGGACUAUUAAGACAGGUACCCGACUAAUCAGGAAUCUAAAUUUUCAAGUAUUUGAAAUGUCGAAUACCCGCUAAUAAACACCCCUAGUAAUAAUGAUAAGCUGUUUUGGUAGAAAACAACAUAUCUUAGAUAAACAUUAAUUUGAGAAUUUAAACUUAUAUAACAUUAUUUUGGGAAUUUUGUAAUUAAUCAACAAUAUUUUGGUAAGAAACUCAUACUAAUAAGUGUUCUGGCCCUGCGUAUUGCACUGCAGUCUUAAAGUUAUUAACAAAUCUGCAAAAUCAACUCAGAAAGAGUAGAAUUGGAAGGUUUCUCUUUUAAGUUUUAUCUUUCCUUUUCCGGAAGGAGGGUGAGGUCCUGACUCGUGAGGAGUUAGAUCAAAAGGAUAUAUCAAAAAUAUAUUAAAAUAAUUUAAGAGACUUUAUUUAUUUUUACGAUGUCUUUUAAAAUAAGGCUUUUGUAUUAUAUUAAAUGAUACAAUUUUUUCACUUCGAGAAAAAUAAUUUAAGAUAAAAUAUAUUGUAAUAUCAUAUUACUUUAAAUAUAAAAAAUUUUACAAAUAAAUUACUUAAAAAAUAUUGCUCAGAAUCGAUCCUGUAUAACACUAUUUAAUAUUUAAGGCCCUUUAUUUCUAGGAGUCCUAGGCAGUCGGCCAACUCGGGUAGCCAAAGAACCGACCUUAAUUAAAAUAAUCAUAAUUAAGGAUAAAGAGACGAUUUUAAAAAGAAAUAUACUCCCAAAAUGAAUGCCAUAUUGUGAGACAAUGUACAUUGAUAUACUUUUAGUUUGUAAUUUUCAAAUUUUAUAUCAAAUGCAUAAAAACGAAUCAUUGAGAAUCAUAAGAUGAAUUGACAGUUAAUAUUUUUCCUUUCACAGGCUUGAAAAUUCAACUCUUACUAUUUACCAUAUAAAUUUCUCUUUCACCCUCUUGUUUGUAAGGAAUUUUUCUUACGAACCAAUAAAUGAAAAUCACCCUAUUUUUUAUUUUCUUAUUGUACUUUAUUUUAUUUUAGAUAAUUAACUCAAAACCCGACUAGUAAUACGUACAACUAAUUUUGUUGCUUACUCGUUCACCUAAUUUUGUUGCUUACUCGUUCACCUAAAUGAGUGGGACAGUCAGGGUCGACCCUAGUAUCUUGGGGGCUCGGGCAAAAGAUUAUUUAUAGGCUCCUAAACUGUUAUAUAUAGAAAAGUUCGAACCUUAGCAUUAAUUGAAAAUUAAAAUUUUUUGGAGUCUUAGACGUAGGCAUGACUUACACUUGCUUAGAACCGGUCCUGUAGAUAGUGGUCUAAAUAACUAGGUGUACGUAAAUGACAAUAGCAUUCAUAGAGGAAGGUGUAUAUAACACGUGAGUGCUCCUAGAGACCCAUAGUACUUGCAUGAAAAACUUUGUUUAUCUAUUGAAUAAACUACUUAAUUUAAGGUAAUAUCGAAGAUAUAAAAAUUAAACAUAUUAAUUCUUCACCAAUUAUCUAUCCAAAGCAUAAUUAAUUAUUUAUUAUCAAUAAAUCAUUAAUUGUUGCCUUACACGGAUAAGUUACACAGUGGAUAGAUGUAGCUAAAUUCUGUUGCAAGGUGGUGCUUCAUUUAAAUGUCAAUUAUACUUAGAGGCUAUUCCUUUUUCAUAAGGAUAUAUGAAUAUAUCCUCAAAAAAUUCAUUUGGGAACAUUAAGGUGAAAAUCAUAGCAUAGUAUGCAAUUUGGACACUAGCUCAAACAAUAAUAAGAUUACAAGGAGCAUGCUCUAAAGGAGAUAAAAGAAUGCAUGGAAAUACACCCGUUUAGAAUCAGCCUUGCAAAUUGCAAGCCGUAUACGCAAUAACAUUUACGUACUUUUACAAUUAUGGCUUUCUUUGAAUGUGCACAUAUUUUUUGUUUAAUCAUGUUGUGUUACUCUAAAAAAUGUGCACAUAUCUUUUUAAUUACCUAUGGGGUAUUUGCUAUAUUAACAAAAUUAUUUUGAACAUUAUUUAUAAGGCUCUGGGCAGAGUAUUAAAUAUUGGUUUUAUAAAGUGAUAAUAAAAACACACAAUCUAUAAUUUUAAUAAUUAGCUUAAAUAUUGAUGAAAAUAAUUGAAAGAAUAAUGUACUUUUCAUAAUAUUUCAAAAAGAUUUAAUGAAACAAUUGAUAUAAAAAAGUAAAUAAUUAUGUAUAGUUGAAACUUCUUAAACUCUAAAUAAAAGUUAGGGAUGACAACGAGGCGGAUUUGGACCAAGUCUAAUUGGACCUUGAUUCAUAUCUGUUUAAAAGGAUGAUCUAGAUUCGGAUCCGGAUCCGGAUCCGUGGGCUCAACUUUUUAGGACCCAAAUCCGGAUCCAACGAAUCCCGUAGCGGGUUCGGGUCCAAAACAAAUCCAAGCUUAUAUUUGCGUAAUUAGUUAAAUUUUGCUUCGCAUUGCGAUAUCUAUGGAGUUUUAAUCUUUAAUAAUGAAAAUAAUAGAUUAAAUUCAAGUUGAGUGUACGUUUGAUGUGUUUUCUAGAAGUAUUAUUAGUGUAAUUUCAUUGUCUUUAUUCCCAACUGGAUUGUCAUUU
RNA transcript from Amaranthus tricolor (Joseph's coat), 3941 nucleotides. It is a transcript of the gene named zinc transporter 8-like, with no coding region annotated. The transcript has 3 exons. Lineage: Eukaryota; Viridiplantae; Streptophyta; Magnoliopsida; Caryophyllales; Amaranthaceae. The record is from RefSeq and is a predicted model, not a curated record.